RNAcentral lists this ribosomal RNA (460 nucleotides) under uncultured bacterium. RNAcentral's name for it is "partial 16S ribosomal RNA". It matches the Rfam family "Bacterial small subunit ribosomal RNA", at positions 338 to 795 of the family's 1533-position model. The record is from RNAcentral.
CCUACGGGGGGCAGCAGUGAGGAAUAUUGGUCAAUGGACGAGAGUCUGAACCAGCCAAGUAGCGUGAAGGAUGACUGCCCUAUGGGUUGUAAACUUCUUUUAUAAAGGAAUAAAACGAGGCACGUGUGCCUUUUUGCAUGUACUUUAUGAAUAAGGAUCGGCUAACUCCGUGCCAGCAGCCGCGGUAAUACGGAGGAUCCGAGCGUUAUCCGGAUUUAUUGGGUUUAAAGGGAGCGUAGAUGGGUUGUUAAGUCAGUUGUGAAAGGUUGCGGCUCAACCGUAAAAUUGCAAUUGAUACUGGCAGUCUUGAGUACAGGUGAGGUAGGCGGAAUUCGUGGUGUAGCGGUGAAAUGCUUAGAUAUCACGAAGAACCCCGAUUGCGAAGGCAGCUUACUAAACUGUGACUGACAUUGAUGCUCGAAAGUGUGGGUAUCAAACAGGAUUAGAUACCCUAGUAGUC